CCUACGGGAGGCAGCAGUGGGGAAUAUUGCACAAUGGGGGGAACCCUGAUGCAGCGACGCCGCGUGAGUGAAGAAGUAUUUCGGUAUGUAAAGCUCUAUCAGCAGGAACGAGACAAGACGGUACCUGACUACGACGCCCCGGCUAACUACGUGCCAGCAGCCGCGGUACUACGUAGGGGGCAAGCGUUAUCCGGAAUCACUGGGUGUAAAGGGAGCGUAGACGGCUGAGCAAGCCUGAAGUGAAAGGCGGGGGCCCAACCCCCGGACUGCUUUGGGAACUGUACGGCUGGAGUGCAGGAGAGGUAAGUGGAAUUCCUAGUGUAGCGGUGAAAUGCGUAGAUAUUAGGAGGAACACCAGUGGCGAAGGCGGCUUACUGGACUGUAACUGACGUUGAGGCUCGAAAGCGUGGGGAGCAAACAGGAUUAGAUACCCUAGUAGUC
Molecule: ribosomal RNA, 441 nt
Filed under: uncultured bacterium
Lineage: Bacteria
Description: partial 16S ribosomal RNA
Rfam family: Bacterial small subunit ribosomal RNA
Source: RNAcentral